GGAGGGGUGACCGAGUGGUUUAUGGUGGCGGUCUUGAAAACCGUUUUCGCCUUUUUGGCGAACGUGGGUUCGAAUCCCACCCCCUCCGCCA
This 91-nucleotide transfer RNA is filed under the name Chloroflexota bacterium. RNAcentral's name for it is "Chloroflexi bacterium tRNA-Ser". It matches the Rfam family "tRNA". Rfam says of the family: Transfer RNA (tRNA) molecules are approximately 80 nucleotides in length. Their secondary structure includes four short double-helical elements and three loops (D, anti-codon, and T loops). Further hydrogen bonds mediate the characteristic L-shaped molecular structure. tRNAs have two regions of fundamental functional importance: the anti-codon, which is responsible for specific mRNA codon recognition, and the 3' end, to which the tRNAs corresponding amino acid is attached (by aminoacyl-tRNA synthetases). tRNAs cope with the degeneracy of the genetic code in two manners: having more than one tRNA (with a specific anti-codon) for a particular amino acid; and 'wobble' base-pairing, i.e. permitting non-standard base-pairing at the 3rd anti-codon position. The record is from RNAcentral. RNAcentral also lists the same sequence under 2 other names. Lineage: Bacteria; Bacillati; Chloroflexota.